Homo sapiens (human) is the source of this 9378-nucleotide RNA transcript. It is a transcript of the gene named ATP binding cassette subfamily A member 12, with no coding region annotated. The transcript has 55 exons. The record is from RefSeq and is marked reviewed. Lineage: Eukaryota; Metazoa; Chordata; Mammalia; Primates; Hominidae.
GUGGAUAGGCAAUUAAUUUCAUGGAGAGUAGGAGGUGUGGGUUCAGCUGCUGCUUUUUUUUUUUUUUCAGUGAGGCAUUAUCUGAAUGAUGCUCAUUCUCUCUUGAGUCUGGACUUCGUGCAACAAGCAGCAACUGGAUAUUAUUUUAAAAUAAGCAUAAGCCACCCAAAGAUACUGAUCUGGGUCCUUCUUUUGGAAGAAGAGUUGAUUGAGAAGUGCCUCUUGGUUAAGGAUUAACCACAGGGAAAAAUCCAGCAGAAACAGAAGAACUGUGGGUUUCUUACCCCAGCCCUCAAGGAAGCUAUGCCGUGAAAGGGGUACUGAUACACUGACAUACAGCAAGUUGGACGGGGCAUCAGUUCUUCAUUUGUGGAGUGGAGAAAAGAAGAGGAAAUCUCUCAUUUGGGGCAUUUGAAGGAUGGCUUCCCUGUUUCAUCAGCUUCAGAUCCUGGUCUGGAAAAAUUGGCUAGGUGUAAAAAGGCAGCCGCUUUGGACACUUGUCUUGAUCUUAUGGCCAGUCAUUAUUUUCAUAAUUUUGGCUAUUACUCGGACCAAAUUUCCUCCAACUGCAAAACCAACUUGUUACCUCGCACCUCGAAACCUUCCUAGUACUGGAUUCUUUCCAUUCCUGCAGACCCUACUCUGUGACACAGACUCUAAAUGCAAAGACACACCCUAUGGCCCACAAGAUCUGCUUCGUAGGAAAGGAAUUGAUGAUGCACUAUUUAAAGACAGUGAGAUUCUGAGAAAGUCAUCCAACCUGGAUAAGGACAGCAGUUUAUCAUUCCAGAGCACCCAAGUUCCAGAAAGAAGGCAUGCAUCACUAGCCACAGUAUUUCCCAGUCCAAGUUCUGAUUUGGAAAUCCCCGGAACAUAUACUUUCAAUGGCAGUCAAGUGCUCGCACGAAUUCUUGGCUUGGAAAAGAAUGAGUAGAGAAAUCAUUUUUGGCUGUUAAAGCAAAAUUCAACUUCAGAAGAUAUACGAAGAGAACUAUGUGACAGCUAUUCAGGAUACAUUGUGGAUGAUGCCUUCUCUUGGACCUUUCUAGGAAGAAAUGUUUUUAACAAAUUUUGCCUUUCUAACAUGACCCUUUUAGAGUCUUCUCUCCAAGAACUAAACAAACAGUUCUCCCAGCUAUCCAGUGACCCCAACAAUCAGAAGAUAGUGUUUCAGGAAAUAGUCAGAAUGCUGUCUUUCUUCUCACAAGUGCAAGAGCAGAAAGCUGUGUGGCAGCUUCUGUCUAGUUUUCCAAAUGUGUUUCAGAAUGACACAUCACUAAGCAAUCUAUUUGAUGUUCUUCGAAAGGCAAACAGUGUGCUGCUGGUUGUGCAGAAGGUUUAUCCACGUUUUGCAACUAACGAAGGUUUCAGAACCCUCCAGAAGUCUGUUAAACAUCUGCUGUACACUCUGGACUCCCCAGCUCAAGGUGACUCCGAUAAUAUAACGCAUGUGUGGAAUGAGGAUGAUGGACAGACCUUAUCUCCAAGCAGUCUGGCUGCACAGCUCCUAAUUCUGGAAAACUUUGAAGAUGCCCUCUUAAAUAUAUCAGCAAAUAGUCCUUAUAUUCCUUACUUGGCAUGUGUGAGAAAUGUGACUGACAGUUUGGCCAGAGGUUCACCAGAAAAUCUAAGACUCCUGCAGUCCACAAUACGAUUUAAAAAAUCUUUUCUUCGCAAUGGUUCCUAUGAAGAUUACUUUCCUCCAGUUCCUGAAGUCCUAAAAUCAAAACUGUCUCAACUUCGAAACUUGACCGAACUUCUUUGUGAAUCUGAAACUUUCAGUUUGAUAGAGAAGUCAUGCCAGCUCUCUGAUAUGAGCUUUGGGAGCCUGUGUGAAGAAAGUGAGUUUGAUCUGCAACUCCUCGAAGCGGCAGAGCUGGGCACCGAAAUAGCAGCCAGCUUACUGUACCAUGACAAUGUCAUAUCUAAAAAAGUGAGAGAUUUGCUGACUGGAGAUCCAAGCAAAAUUAAUUUAAAUAUGGAUCAGUUUCUAGAACAGGCACUGCAAAUGAAUUACUUGGAAAAUAUCACUCAGUUAAUACCGAUCAUAGAAGCCAUGCUGCAUGUCAAUAACAGUGCAGAUGCUUCUGAAAAGCCAGGUCAGUUACUAGAAAUGUUUAAAAAUGUUGAAGAGCUGAAAGAAGAUUUAAGGAGAACAACAGGAAUGUCCAACAGGACUAUUGACAAGUUGCUGGCCAUUCCCAUCCCUGAUAAUAGAGCUGAGAUUAUUUCUCAGGUGUUCUGGCUGCAUUCCUGUGAUACUAAUAUCACCACUCCCAAACUAGAAGAUGCAAUGAAAGAAUUCUGCAACCUGUCUCUUUCAGAGAGAUCCCGGCAGUCUUACCUCAUCGGACUCACCCUUCUGCACUACUUAAACAUUUACAACUUCACAUACAAGGUGUUUUUCCCGAGGAAAGAUCAAAAGCCAGUAGAAAAGAUGAUGGAGCUCUUCAUAAGACUAAAAGAGAUUCUCAAUCAGAUGGCUUCUGGCACACAUCCGCUGCUAGACAAAAUGAGAUCCCUGAAGCAAAUGCAUCUGCCCAGAAGUGUUCCAUUAACACAGGCAAUGUACAGAAGCAACCGAAUGAACACACCACAAGGAUCAUUUAGCACCAUCUCCCAAGCAUUAUGUUCUCAAGGAAUUACCACUGAAUAUUUAACUGCCAUGCUGCCCUCUUCCCAGAGGCCAAAAGGCAACCACACCAAGGAUUUUUUGACUUAUAAAUUAACUAAAGAGCAAAUUGCUUCAAAAUAUGGAAUUCCCAUAAAUUCCACACCAUUUUGCUUCUCCCUUUAUAAAGACAUCAUUAACAUGCCCGCUGGACCUGUGAUUUGGGCUUUCUUGAAACCUAUGUUGUUGGGAAGAAUUUUGUAUGCACCAUAUAACCCAGUCACAAAGGCAAUAAUGGAAAAGUCCAAUGUAACUCUGAGACAGCUGGCGGAAUUAAGAGAAAAAUCUCAAGAGUGGAUGGAUAAGUCGCCACUUUUCAUGAAUUCCUUCCAUCUGUUAAACCAGGCAAUUCCAAUGCUCCAGAAUACUCUAAGGAACCCUUUUGUGCAAGUUUUUGUAAAGUUCUCCGUGGGACUCGAUGCUGUUGAACUAUUGAAACAGAUAGAUGAACUCGAUAUUCUAAGACUGAAAUUAGAGAACAACAUUGACAUCAUCGAUCAGCUUAACACACUAUCUUCCCUGACAGUAAAUAUUUCCUCUUGUGUAUUAUAUGACCGUAUUCAGGCAGCAAAAACCAUAGAUGAAAUGGAGAGAGAGGCUAAAAGGCUCUACAAAAGCAACGAACUCUUUGGAAGUGUUAUUUUUAAGCUUCCUUCUAACAGAAGCUGGCACAGAGGCUAUGACUCUGGAAAUGUCUUUCUUCCUCCUGUCAUAAAAUAUACCAUCCGGAUGAGUCUCAAGACCGCACAGACCACAAGAAGCCUAAGAACCAAGAUUUGGGCUCCAGGGCCACACAAUUCUCCAUCACACAACCAGAUCUAUGGCAGGGCUUUUAUUUAUUUACAGGAUAGUAUUGAAAGAGCAAUCAUUGAAUUGCAAACUGGAAGGAACUCCCAGGAAAUAGCAGUCCAGGUUCAAGCAAUUCCUUAUCCCUGCUUCAUGAAAGACAAAGUUAUAAAUGAGAUGAGGUAAUGUAACCCAGUGCAACAGUAGCAUGAGGAAGCAGCUUCCUAACCAGUGUCUCUUAUUCUCUUCCAAUUGUGCUUAUGGUUGCCUGGGUUGUAUUUAUAGCUGCCUUUGUAAAAAAGCUUGUCUAUGAGAAAGACCUCCGGCUUCAUGAGUACAUGAAGAUGAUGGGUGUGAACUCCUGCAGCCAUUUCUUUGCCUGGCUUAUAGAGAGUGUUGGAUUUUUACUGGUUACCAUCGUGAUCCUCAUCAUUAUACUCAAGUUUGGCAAUAUUCUUCCUAAAACAAAUGGGUUCAUUUUGUUCCUGUAUUUUUCGGACUACAGCUUCUCGGUUAUUGCCAUGAGCUAUCUUAUCAGUGUCUUCUUCAACAACACCAACAUUGCAGCUCUGAUCGGAAGCCUCAUCUACAUCAUUGCCUUCUUUCCAUUUAUUGUUCUGGUUACAGUGGAGAAUGAGUUGAGCUAUGUAUUGAAAGUGUUCAUGAGCCUGCUGUCCCCAACAGCAUUCAGCUAUGCAAGCCAAUACAUUGCACGAUACGAAGAACAGGGCAUUGGUCUUCAGUGGGAAAAUAUGUACACCUCCCCGGUUCAGGAUGACACCACCUCAUUUGGCUGGCUGUGCUGUCUAAUCCUAGCUGACUCUUUCAUUUAUUUCCUUAUUGCUUGGUAUGUCAGGAAUGUCUUCCCAGGGACAUACGGUAUGGCAGCUCCCUGGUAUUUUCCAAUUCUUCCUUCCUAUUGGAAGGAGCGAUUUGGGUGUGCAGAGGUGAAGCCUGAGAAGAGCAAUGGCCUCAUGUUUACUAACAUCAUGAUGCAGAACACCAACCCAUCUGCCAGUCCUGAAUACAUGUUUUCCUCUAACAUCGAGCCUGAACCUAAAGAUCUCACAGUCGGGGUUGCCCUGCAUGGGGUCACAAAGAUCUAUGGCUCAAAAGUUGCUGUUGAUAACCUCAAUCUGAACUUUUAUGAAGGGCAUAUUACUUCAUUGCUGGGGCCCAAUGGAGCUGGGAAAACUACUACCAUUUCCAUGUUAACUGGGCUGUUUGGGGCCUCAGCAGGCACCAUUUUUGUAUAUGGAAAAGAUAUCAAAACAGACCUACACACGGUACGGAAGAACAUGGGAGUCUGUAUGCAGCACGACGUCUUGUUCAGUUACCUCACUACUAAGGAGCACCUUCUCCUAUAUGGUUCCAUCAAAGUUCCUCACUGGACUAAAAAGCAGCUCCACGAGGAAGUAAAAAGGACUUUAAAAGAUACUGGACUAUAUAGCCAUCGUCAUAAGAGAGUUGGAACACUGUCAGGAGGCAUGAAGAGGAAGUUAUCUAUAUCCAUAGCUCUCAUUGGUGGAUCAAGGGUAGUAAUUUUGGAUGAACCAUCUACUGGAGUUGACCCAUGUUCUCGCCGAAGUAUAUGGGAUGUUAUAUCCAAGAACAAAACUGCCAGAACAAUCAUUCUGUCAACGCACCACUUGGACGAGGCUGAAGUGCUGAGUGACCGCAUCGCCUUCCUGGAGCAGGGUGGGCUUAGGUGCUGUGGGUCCCCAUUUUACCUCAAGGAAGCCUUUGGCGAUGGGUAUCACCUCACGCUUACCAAGAAGAAGAGUCCAAAUUUAAAUGCAAAUGCAGUAUGUGACACCAUGGCCGUGACAGCAAUGAUCCAAUCACAUCUCCCCGAAGCCUACCUCAAGGAGGAUAUUGGGGGAGAGCUUGUUUAUGUACUUCCUCCAUUCAGCACCAAAGUCUCAGGGGCCUACCUGUCACUCCUACGGGCACUCGACAAUGGCAUGGGUGACCUCAACAUCGGGUGCUACGGCAUUUCAGAUACCACCGUGGAGGAGGUCUUUCUGAACUUGACCAAAGAGUCACAAAAAAAUAGUGCUAUGAGUCUUGAGCACUUAACACAAAAGAAAAUUGGGAAUUCCAAUGCCAAUGGCAUCUCAACUCCUGACGAUUUAUCUGUGAGCAGCAGCAAUUUCACAGACAGAGAUGACAAAAUCCUGACAAGAGGAGAGAGGCUGGAUGGCUUUGGACUGUUGCUGAAGAAGAUCAUGGCUAUACUCAUCAAGAGGUUCCACCACACCCGCAGGAACUGGAAAGGUCUCAUUGCUCAGGUUAUCCUCCCCAUCGUCUUUGUUACCACUGCCAUGGGCCUUGGCACACUGAGAAAUUCCAGCAACAGUUAUCCAGAGAUUCAGAUCUCCCCCUCUCUUUAUGGUACCUCCGAACAGACAGCCUUCUAUGCUAAUUAUCACCCGAGCACGGAAGCACUUGUCUCAGCAAUGUGGGACUUCCCUGGAAUUGACAACAUGUGUCUGAACACCAGUGAUCUACAGUGUUUAAACAAAGACAGUCUGGAAAAAUGGAACACCAGUGGAGAACCCAUCACUAAUUUUGGUGUUUGCUCCUGCUCAGAAAAUGUCCAGGAAUGUCCUAAAUUUAACUAUUCCCCACCGCACAGAAGAACUUACUCAUCCCAGGUAAUUUAUAACCUCACUGGGCAACGAGUGGAAAAUUAUCUUAUAUCAACUGCAAAUGAGUUUGUCCAAAAAAGAUAUGGAGGUUGGAGUUUUGGGCUGCCUUUGACAAAAGACCUUCGUUUUGAUAUAACAGGAGUCCCUGCCAAUAGAACACUUGCCAAGGUAUGGUAUGAUCCAGAAGGCUAUCACUCCCUUCCAGCUUACCUCAACAGCCUGAAUAAUUUCCUUCUGCGAGUUAACAUGUCAAAAUACGAUGCUGCCCGACAUGGCAUCAUCAUGUAUAGCCAUCCUUAUCCAGGAGUGCAAGACCAAGAACAAGCCACAAUCAGCAGUUUAAUCGAUAUUUUAGUGGCACUGUCUAUCUUGAUGGGCUACUCUGUCACCACCGCCAGCUUUGUCACCUAUGUUGUAAGGGAACAUCAAACCAAAGCCAAACAGUUGCAGCACAUUUCAGGCAUUGGCGUGACAUGCUACUGGGUAACAAACUUCAUUUAUGACAUGGUUUUCUACUUGGUGCCUGUAGCGUUUUCAAUUGGUAUCAUUGCGAUUUUCAAAUUACCUGCAUUCUACAGUGAAAACAACCUAGGCGCUGUAUCUCUCCUACUUCUCCUGUUUGGGUAUGCAACAUUUUCCUGGAUGUACUUGCUGGCUGGGCUCUUCCAUGAAACAGGAAUGGCCUUCAUCACUUACGUCUGUGUCAACUUGUUUUUUGGCAUUAAUUCCAUUGUUUCCCUGUCAGUGGUAUACUUUCUUUCCAAGGAAAAGCCUAAUGAUCCGACUUUAGAACUUAUUUCUGAAACCCUCAAGCGCAUUUUCCUGAUUUUCCCACAAUUCUGUUUUGGCUACGGUUUGAUUGAACUUUCUCAACAACAGUCGGUCCUAGACUUCUUAAAAGCAUAUGGAGUGGAAUACCCAAAUGAAACCUUUGAGAUGAAUAAACUAGGUGCAAUGUUUGUGGCUUUGGUUUCUCAGGGCACCAUGUUUUUUUCCUUGCGACUCUUAAUCAACGAAUCCCUGAUAAAGAAACUCAGGCUUUUCUUCAGAAAAUUUAAUUCUUCACAUGUAAGGGAGACAAUAGAUGAGGAUGAAGAUGUGCGGGCUGAGAGAUUAAGAGUUGAGAGUGGUGCAGCUGAAUUUGACUUGGUCCAACUUUAUUGUCUCACAAAGACCUACCAACUUAUCCACAAAAAGAUUAUAGCUGUAAACAACAUCAGCAUUGGGAUACCUGCUGGAGAGUGUUUUGGGCUUCUUGGAGUGAAUGGAGCAGGAAAGACCACUAUAUUCAAGAUGCUGACAGGAGACAUCAUUCCUUCAAGUGGAAACAUUCUGAUCAGAAAUAAGACCGGAUCUCUGGGUCACGUUGAUUCUCACAGCUCAUUAGUUGGCUACUGUCCUCAGGAAGAUGCCUUAGAUGACCUGGUAACUGUGGAAGAACAUUUGUAUUUCUAUGCCAGGGUACAUGGAAUUCCAGAAAAGGAUAUUAAAGAAACUGUUCAUAAACUCCUUAGGAGACUUCACCUGAUGCCCUUCAAGGACAGAGCUACCUCUAUGUGCAGUUAUGGCACAAAAAGAAAAUUAUCCACUGCACUGGCCUUGAUAGGGAAACCUUCCAUUCUACUGCUGGAUGAGCCGAGCUCUGGCAUGGAUCCGAAGUCGAAACGGCACCUCUGGAAGAUCAUUUCAGAAGAAGUACAGAACAAAUGUUCCGUCAUCCUCACAUCUCACAGCAUGGAAGAAUGUGAAGCUCUCUGUACCAGGUUGGCCAUUAUGGUGAAUGGAAAGUUUCAAUGUAUUGGAUCUUUGCAGCACAUAAAGAGCAGGUUUGGACGAGGAUUUACUGUCAAAGUUCACUUGAAGAAUAACAAAGUGACCAUGGAGACCCUCACAAAGUUCAUGCAGCUGCACUUUCCAAAAACAUACUUAAAAGAUCAGCACCUCAGCAUGCUAGAGUAUCAUGUACCAGUCACAGCAGGAGGAGUCGCAAACAUUUUUGAUCUGCUGGAAACCAACAAGACUGCUUUAAAUAUUACAAAUUUCUUAGUGAGUCAGACCACUCUGGAAGAGGUUUUCAUCAACUUUGCCAAAGACCAGAAGUCCUAUGAAACUGCUGAUACCAGCAGCCAAGGUUCCACUAUAAGUGUUGACUCACAAGAUGACCAGAUGGAGUCUUAACACUUCCAGCAAACUCAAUCUCAGCGUGUGACCAAUGGCUUCAUUUUGAAGAAAAGCCACAGAAGAUACACUUCCGCAAGAUAUCUUCAUUUUAAAGUAAAGUAAUAUACUGUAUGGAAAGUUACAACUGUGUUAGACUAACAAGUAAUUAUAAAAGGAAAUUUUUCCUUCUAAGGUCAGUGAGUGUUGUUGCUACUGAAAUGAAUUCCUGUAUACUCAACACUGUGAGCAUGCUAAUGUAUAUGCUGGUGAUUCUUAUGCAAAGGUGAAGCCACCUCAAGAUGAAUAUCUUAAUUUAUUACUUUCAAUAAAAAGACAGUUUAAAAGGCAUGGAUUUUGGUAGUUGAAAUAUAAGAGUGGAGAAGAAAAGUCAGAUGGUUUGUGGCAGGUGCCACCGGGCAAGCAGACAACAUAAUUUAUUUCCAGAAAACAACAGAAUGAACAUCAUCAUGAAUACAUGAAUCGGCUGUGAUGUGUGAACUGCUAAGGGCCAAAUGAACGUUUGCAGAGCAGUGGGCACAAUGUUUACAAUGUAUGUGUAUGUCACUUUCGGUACCUGUGAAUGCAUGGGGACGUGCUGAACCCGAAAAAAAGUGCCUUUCCAUAAGGACUGCAAUAGAGAGGGCAAUUUACCCUGGUGGUACACGGAACCUAGAUUCACUCCUGCCAUGCCUUGCCAAUAGUAAGCUGCAGGGUGGAACAAGAAAUCACUUGCUCUGGGGGGAAGGGAGGGGGGAAUGGGUGUGUCAGCUGGGUAGAUACAAACCCUGAAAAGAGAAUCCAUGUGCUACUGGCAGGCAACAUUUUUUAAAGCUCUUUCAGAAACCCUCAUAUUUGGGGUUUCUUUUCAGGAAACAUUCCUGUGGAGGGAAAACGAAUAUGAAGAUAAUUUUCAGCUAAUUAUCUGGGUGACCCAGAAUCGUGUAUAUGGCUAUAGGAUAGACUUCUUAAUAAUGGCAAGUGACGUGGCCCUGGGGAAAGGUGCUUUAUGUACCGUGUGUGCGUGUAUGUGUGUGUAUCUAUACAAGUUUGUCAGCUUUGGCAUGACUGUUUGUCUCGAAAACCAAUAAACUCAAAGUUUAGAAAAACUCA